This 497-nucleotide ribosomal RNA is filed under the name uncultured bacterium. RNAcentral's name for it is "partial 16S ribosomal RNA". It matches the Rfam family "Bacterial small subunit ribosomal RNA", at positions 28 to 507 of the family's 1533-position model. The record is from RNAcentral.
GAUGAACGCUGGCGGCGUGCCUAAUACAUGCAAGUCGAGCGAACAGACGAGGAGCUUGCUCCUCUGACGUUAGCGGCGGACGGGUGAGUAACACGUGGAUAACCUACCUAUAAGACUGGGAUAACUUCGGGAAACCGGAGCUAAUACCGGAUAAUAUAUUGAACCGCAUGGUUCAAUAGUGAAAGACGGUUUUGCUGUCACUUAUAGAUGGAUCCGCGCCGCAUUAGCUAGUUGGUAAGGUAACGGCUUACCAAGGCAACGAUGCGUAGCCGACCUGAGAGGGUGAUCGGCCACACUGGAACUGAGACACGGUCCAGACUCCUACGGGAGGCAGCAGUAGGGAAUCUUCCGCAAUGGGCGAAAGCUUGACGGAGCAACGCCGCGUGAGUGAUGAAGGUCUUCGGAUCGUAAAACUCUGUUAUUAGGGAAGAACCAAUGUGUAAGUAACUAUGCACGUCCUGACGGUACCUAAUCAGAAAGCCACGGCUAACUACGUG